Meleagris gallopavo (turkey) is the source of this 145-nucleotide non-coding RNA. Lineage: Eukaryota; Metazoa; Chordata; Aves; Galliformes; Phasianidae. The record is from RefSeq and is a predicted model, not a curated record.
GCUCCUCCCUCUCACUUGCAGCCAUGGAGGCGGUGCUGAUCGUCCUGUGCUCCCUGCUGGUGUCGGCAGCUGCAGCGGAUGUGGGUGCCCAAGAGAAGGAGGAAGACCCCUUUAACUAUGAUUACCAAAGCCUGCGGAUUGGUGG